ACUUGAUAGAUUCAUUUACAUCAAUGUUGUGAUCUCAUAUUGUACAAGAUGAAUGCAUUAUUAAGUGGCUUGAUUUUGAUGGUAGUGGUAAUGGCUGCUCAGUUAGGAAUAACAAAUGGUUGUAAAGGUUGCAACGUAAAAGGAGUUUGCUAUUCUGCCAAUGAACAGUGGUUGGAUAAAUGUUCGACGAAAAAAUGUUCUGUUGAUUCCAAUGGUUACGAAACAAAAUGGGCAACAUCAAUAGUGAAAACACAAUGCGAGGACACAAAUGGUAAAUGUGUAGAUGAAGGUCAGAAGAAUUCUGAUGGGUGUACCUGUAAGGUUUUCGGAACGAGGUGGGAAUACAGUUGUUAUGGAAAAUAAAAGUCUUUGAAUAUUA
Long non-coding RNA from Mytilus californianus (California mussel), 379 nucleotides. RefSeq lists it as uncharacterized. The transcript has 4 exons. Lineage: Eukaryota; Metazoa; Mollusca; Bivalvia; Mytilida; Mytilidae. The record is from RefSeq and is a predicted model, not a curated record.